This 2986-nucleotide small RNA is filed under the name Pan troglodytes (chimpanzee). Its description in RNAcentral is "retained intron". Lineage: Eukaryota; Metazoa; Chordata; Mammalia; Primates; Hominidae. The record is from RNAcentral.
AAACGGCGGGACCAGCAGCGACGGUAGCAGCAGCAUGGCCGCGAUCUAUGGGGGUGUAGAGGGGUGAGUGCGGCCCGGCGGAGGGAGCCUGGGCCCGAGGGCGGGGCGGAAGGCCGUGGCCAGCCUGGCAAGCUGGUGGCCUUGAUCCUCGGCGUCCGGGCACUUUGGGCGGCGGGACCUUGCGGUGAAGAGGUGUGUGCACGCGCAGGGGCGCCCUGGAGCGCACAGCUGUAUGCCUUACGGGGACUCUGCCUGUGCAACAGCCACACCCCGGGUUGGGGAUCCUUUGUGUUUCUUGGCGGAACCACGCCCCUUUCUCCCACGAAACACCCACUCCGCUGUCUUCAGCUGGAGAAGCAGCUCCUUUUUCCUAUUCCUGACCUCGGACAGAGUUUUGCAGAACAGGUGUCAGGUGUGAAAUUGCUGAGCGCGGGCAGGGUGGGGAGUGGGAGUGGGGAGAAGCGGGACAAAGAUCUUGGCUGAGGUUAUCCGGGAGCUGGAGCAGCUGCGAGCCAGAGUACUAGGUUGUCCUGAUGUCUGAAAACCGCUCCAUCCCUGUUGGCCUUCCAUGCUGCUUUCACUAGAUUGCAUUUUUCUGCUCAGAAGCUUGUUUACUGAACUUUUUGUAAUAGCUCUGCGCCCGGGUAUGACCAUGGACAAGAUAUUUACCCUCCCUGGGCUACAGUUACCAUAUGUGCAAAGUGAGGAUAGGGAUAAAUAAGAUCGCUAUGUCCCUGCCAGUGGCAACAUUCUGUGAAUCUGAGUGUGUCAAAUCAGGAAAUAAUGGGGGUCGCUGGCCUCUCAGCCAGGGCACUGUACUUUCGAAUCUGUGAUUGUUUUCACUUCUCUGGCAGCCACACCCCACUGCUGAUUCACAGACCCCAAAGUCUUUUCACAUGAAUUGUUAGGAAUGAUCUUUCCCAUCCUGUAUUUGUAGCACUUAAAAAAAACAGUAUAGGAGUCUGCAUUCAUCCUUGUUAUAGUCAUCUGUAAGAUAUGACCCGUUUCUUCCAGUUCGUCAAGACAUGCUUUUGGUUGUGGAAUCUGCCACCUCAUGUAUUAACUACCCCCUUGAAAUUUCAUGUCCUCUUUGAGUUUGAUGAGCGGUCUUCAGUGUCUUCUUCUGCCAUUCCUAAAAGUAAUGAUCAAUAAAGAAACAUAUAUCCCAUCACCACAGAUCUCCCUGUGAACUACUGUGACCCCCAGUAAUCAACAUUUGAAGGUUUAGUUGCUUAAGUAUGUAUGAAGUCACCCUGCCAUCUGGUCAGCAUUUCUAGCAAAGGUGUCUUGAAGACCUUGGCAGCUGGAUCUUGAAAUGCAGUGUUUAGCUAUUGUGAGGGAAGCAGAGAGAUGUGCCAUUUUUCUUAGGAGUGUUUGCUGAGCAUUGCCUGUGCCAGCUCCUGUGCUCGUUCUGAGAGGGUAAGUAAGUGAUCAGGAGCUUGACCCAGUGGAGCUUGAAGUCUAGUGAGAGGCGGACACAAAGCGUCUGAACACACUCUUCAUACAGAGGAGACUUUAAUAACUUUGGAGGCACUGUGAAGGUUUAACUAACGGAGACUUAACUAAUUCGUUGGGGUGGGCCACACCUCAGAAAAGGUUUCGAGGACUAGGUGAAGCAUAAGUAGAGUCUUGCAGGAUAAGGAGGACAUCCCCAAGGGAAGAGGAGUGAGAAUUAUGUUUCAGUUAAAGAGCAUGCAAACACUGAACCACAGAGGCGGGUUUGGGAGUGGUGAUUGAGUUUGUCGAAGCUGUCUCCUCCAUCAUACUGGGCUCUGCCAGUGUGGACAGCACAAGCUUAGCUCUCUCUGUGGGUUUUUCCGAGCAAGAUCAAGUGCCCUCUUGUGUUCUGUAGGGGAGGCACACGAUCCAAGGUCCUUUUAGUCUCAGAGGAUGGGAAGAUCCUGGCAGAAGCAGAUGGACUGAGCACAAACCACUGGCUGAUCGGGACAGACAAGUGUGUGGAGAGGAUCAAUGAGAUGGUGAACAGGGCCAAACGGAAAGCAGGGGUGGAUCCUCUGGUACCGCUGCGAAGCUUGGGCCUAUCUCUGAGCGGUGGGGACCAGGAGGACGCGGGGAGGAUCCUGAUCGAGGAGCUGAGGGACCGAUUUCCCUACCUGAGUGAAAGCUACUUAAUCACCACCGAUGCCGCCGGCUCCAUCGCCACAGCUACACCGGAUGGUGGAGUUGUGCUCAUAUCUGGAACAGGCUCCAACUGCAGGCUCAUCAACCCUGAUGGCUCCGAGAGUGGCUGCGGCGGCUGGGGCCAUAUGAUGGGUGAUGAGGGUUCAGCCUACUGGAUCGCACACCAAGCAGUGAAAAUAGUGUUUGACUCCAUUGACAACCUAGAGGCGGCUCCUCAUGAUAUCGGCUACGUCAAACAGGCCAUGUUCCACUAUUUCCAGGUGCCAGAUCGGCUAGGGAUACUCACUCACCUGUAUAGGGACUUUGAUAAAUGCAGGUUUGCUGGGUUUUGCCGGAAAAUUGCAGAAGGUGCUCAGCAGGGAGACCCCCUUUCCCGCUAUAUCUUCAGGAAGGCUGGGGAGAUGCUGGGCAGACACAUCGUAGCAGUGUUGCCCGAGAUUGACCCGGUCUUGUUCCAGGGCGAGAUUGGACUCCCCAUCCUGUGCGUGGGCUCUGUGUGGAAGAGCUGGGAGCUGCUGAAGGAAGGUUUUCUUUUGGCGCUGACCCAGGGCAGAGAGAUCCAGGCUCAGAACUUCUUCUCCAGCUUCACCCUGAUGAAGCUGAGGCACUCCUCCGCUCUGGGUGGGGCCAGCCUAGGGGCCAGGCACAUCGGGCACCUCCUCCCCAUGGACUAUAGUGCCAAUGCCAUUGCCUUCUAUUCCUACACCUUCUCCUAGGGGGCUGGUCCCGGCUCCACCCCCUCCAAGCUCAGUGGACACUGGGUCUGGAAGGAAGGAGUCUUUUGCUUCCUUUCUCCUUUUUACAAAAACAAACAUAGAAGAAAAUAAAUGCACUUUAUCCACUC